GACGUGACUUCUAGAGUUUGAUCCUGGCUCAGGACGAACGCUGGCGGCGUGCCUAACACAUGCAAGUCGAACGGGGUAGAGAGCUUCGGUUUUCUACUUAGUGGCGAACGGGUGAGUAACGCGUGAGAAACCUGCCUUUCAGUGGGGGACAACAGUUGGAAACGACUGCUAAUACCGCAUAAUGUUAUUUGGGGGCAUCCUCGAAUAACCAAAGAUUUAUUGCUGAAAGAUGGUCUCGCGUCUGAUUAGCUAGUUGGUGAGGUAACGGCUCACCAAGGCGACGAUCAGUAGCCGGUCUGAGAGGAUGAACGGCCACAUUGGGACUGAGAUACGGCCCAG
This 339-nucleotide ribosomal RNA is filed under the name uncultured bacterium. Its description in RNAcentral is "bacterial SSU rRNA". It matches the Rfam family "Bacterial small subunit ribosomal RNA", at positions 1 to 334 of the family's 1533-position model. The record is from RNAcentral.